AGCCCAUUUUGAAAUGGGAAGGUGCUUCGUAGAACUGGACAUGUGGGAAAGCAGGGCUAAGAGUCCUGGGCCAGGCCAAUGCAGUGACUCAAGAAGAAGCUGAAGUGCUCCCCAGGCCUUGUGAACUGACCGAAGCAAGUGGUGAGGUUCAAAGUUUUAUUUCAGGGAAGGCAGGGUUACCUAGAGCCUGGGUGGGGGUUAAUCAAUGUACAUUCAUCAUUAAUUUAUGCAUGUAAGGGGCUUUGGAGCACAGUCGUCAUGCUGGUUUUGAUAACGCUAACUCUAUCCACCCUGCCAGCUGCUGUGAUGUCGUGGUAGUCUGUGUUGCUGCAUGCAGAAUUAUGGUGCUUUUGUGGGAAUAUUAUGUUCCUUGAAUAGAGCCCCACAGAGCAAUUUGCUUCAUCCUUACAAACCCAUCCAAAUAACUGGCAGUGCCUUACAAAUACAAAACAAUCGAGAAAAUAAAUGUAUUAUACUGUACAUCUGUGACAAAACAAUGCUUUCAUGUGCAAAGAGAAAUGUGUUUGUUUAACUUACGGUUUCCCAUUUGGAAAUAAAUGCAUUCAUUUAAAUUAAAAUGGGACGUUCUUCACUAUUACAGAAUUUUGCAUGCCAGAUGUAAGAAAUGUGCUGCUUGAAGAGCAGACUCAAAACUUGGAGUGGUUGGCAUUACCAAAAGCAUGCGUGUGCUGGCUUAUCCUUGAUGGUGUCUCUUCCUGCAGGGUGUUCUUCAUCUGAGUAGGACGUUCCUGCCUUUGCAUGAACAGUGUGGUCUGUAGGAGAGGUUUGGGAGUGAGAUUCUCCCUUGUGUGGCAGUCUUGUGUCUUAGUGCAUGCUGGUAAGCCCACUUUUCACCUGGGUUGUGUUUAGGAGAGAGUGCUAAAACUGACUGACCUGCUUCAGAACUUUGCACUACUGUGACCGUGAGACAGAGUGAC
This 938-nucleotide long non-coding RNA is filed under the name Gallus gallus (chicken). Lineage: Eukaryota; Metazoa; Chordata; Aves; Galliformes; Phasianidae. The record is from RNAcentral.